UUUUGGUAAGCAGAACUGGCGCUGUGGGAUGAACCAAACGCCGGGUUACGGCGCCCGAUGCGAGACGCUCAUGAGACCCCAUGAAAGGUGUUGGUUGCUCCUGACAGCAGGACGGUGGUCAUGGAAGUCGAAAUCCGCUAAGGAGUGUGUAACAACUCACCUGCCGAAGCAACUAGCCCUGAAAAUGGAUGGCGCUCCAGCGUCGAGCCCAUACCCGGCCGCUGCGGCAGAGCUCCCCGAGGAGGUUUACGCCGCAGUGAGUAGGAGGGUCGCGGCGGGGAGCGUUGAAGGUGCCGGGCGCGAGCCCGCCUGGAGCCCCCGUCGGUGCAGAUCUUGGUGGUAGUAGCAAAUACUCAAGUGAGAACCUUGAGGACUGAAGGUGGAGAAGGGUUCCAUGAGAACAGCAGUUGAACAUGGGUCAGUCGGCCCUAAGGGAUCGGAGAAAUCCGUUCCGAAGCGGGACCUUACGUCGAGAGCGCAAGUCCCGCUGCCGACCGAAAGGGAAUGGGGUCAAUAUUCCCCAACCCGGACACGGAGAUUGAGCCUUCGGGCUCGAGUGCGGCGACGCAACCGAACUCGGAGAAGUCGACGGAGGACCCGGGGAAGAGUUGUCUUUUCUUUGUAAGGGUUCGUGUCCCUGGAAUCGGCUCGUCCGGAGAUAGGGACGCUGUUCCCGUAAAAGCACCGCGGCUCUUGCGGUGUCCGGUCCGCCUCUGUCGGCCCUUGCAAAUCCGAGGGAGAUGGUGUGAUUUUCGUGCCGGACCGUACCCAUAUCCGCAGCA
This 782-nucleotide ribosomal RNA is filed under the name Pseudopoda virgata. RNAcentral's name for it is "eukaryotic LSU rRNA". It matches the Rfam family "Eukaryotic large subunit ribosomal RNA", at positions 1135 to 1861 of the family's 3401-position model. Lineage: Eukaryota; Metazoa; Arthropoda; Arachnida; Araneae; Sparassidae. The record is from RNAcentral.